This 100-nucleotide ribosomal RNA is filed under the name Leptospira borgpetersenii serovar Balcanica. RNAcentral describes it as "partial 23S ribosomal RNA". It matches the Rfam family "Bacterial large subunit ribosomal RNA", at positions 2826 to 2925 of the family's 2925-position model. The record is from RNAcentral. Lineage: Bacteria; Pseudomonadati; Spirochaetota; Leptospiria; Leptospirales; Leptospiraceae.
CCUAAAGACCCCAAGAAGAUGACUUGGUUGAUAGGUCACAGAUGUAAGUGUGGUAACACAUUCAGUCGAGUGAUACUAAUCGGUCGUGAGGCUUGACCAU